CAUGAAAGCCAGUGCUAUUAAAACUCAAUCACAGUAAUAGGGAGGGAGCUUACUAACACACAAAACAUGUGUUAGAGACCCUUUGCUGGGCCAGCAGGUCACUGGGGCUUUGUGCUGUCCCCAGCCCCAUGAGACACUCAGAGGAAAAUGUUAGCUGCUGACUGAAAUCAGGUGAGAAUUUGGUCCACUUCAACCAGUUGGACAGAGGAGAAAUUGUUGCCCAGGAUUUGCUCUGCAAGGAGAAGAACUCCAGGUGCCUAGAUGCUCCCAAGUGAUCCAGCACAACCUUUCCAGAGCAAAGGAUGCUUACAAGCUUGGAAUGAAACAAAGCACAUGCAGGUAAGGGAAUGAGAGCUGAAGUGUUUUGCCAAGAUCAGCUCCAAGUCUAGUGACCCUUGGC
Molecule: long non-coding RNA, 400 nt
Organism: Vidua chalybeata
Lineage: Eukaryota; Metazoa; Chordata; Aves; Passeriformes; Viduidae
Exons: 4
Source: RefSeq, a predicted model, not a curated record